RNAcentral lists this ribosomal RNA (487 nucleotides) under uncultured bacterium. RNAcentral's name for it is "partial 16S ribosomal RNA". It matches the Rfam family "Bacterial small subunit ribosomal RNA", at positions 28 to 523 of the family's 1533-position model. The record is from RNAcentral.
GAUGAACGCUAGCGGAAGGCAUAAUACAUGCAAGUCGAACGGAUGUAGCAAUACAUUAGUGGCGCACGGGUGCGUAACGCGUAUGCAACCUACCUUCAUCAGGGGGAUAACUACUCGAAAGGGUGGCUAACACCGCAUAAUACUACUGAAUGGCAUCAUUUGGUAUUUAAAUCUGAGGAGGAUGAAGUUGGGCAUGCGUCUGAUUAGCUAGUUGGUGUGGUAACGGCGCACCAAGGCGACGAUCAGUAGGGGAACUGAGAGGUUGGUCCCCCACACUGGCACUGAGAUACGGGCCAGACUCCUACGGGAGGCAGCAGUAGGGAAUAUUGGUCAAUGGUGGGAACACUGAACCAGCCAUUCCGCGUGCAGGAAGAAGGGACUCUGACUUGUAAACUGCUUUAGCAAGGGAAGAAAAAGCUCAAGCGUGAGAAAUUGACGGUACCUUGAGAAUAAGCACCGGCUAACUACGUGCCAGCAGCCGCCGCGG